CAGAAGAAGCACCGGCUAACUCCGUGCCAGCAGCCGCGGUAAUACGGAGGGUGCGAGCGUUAAUCGGAAUUACUGGGCGUAAAGCGCAUGCAGGUGGUUAGUUAAGUCAGAUGUGAAAGCCCGGGGCUCAACCUCGGAACUGCAUUUGAAACUGGCUGACUAGAGUACUGUAGAGGGGGUAGAAUUUCAGGUGUAGCGGUGAAAUGCGUAGAGAUCUGAAGGAAUACCGGUGGCGAAGGCGGCCCCCUGGACAGAUACUGACACUCAGAUGCGAAAGCGUGGGGAGCAAACAGGAUUAGAUACCCUGGUAGUCCACGCCGUAAACGAUGUCUACUUGGAGGUUGUGGCCUUGAGCCGUGGCUUUCGGAGCUAACGCGUUAAGUAGACCGCCUGGGGAGUACGGUCGCAAGAUUAAAACUCAAAUGAAUUGACGGGGGCCCGCACAAGCGGUGGAGCAUGUGGUUUAAUUCGAUGCAACGCGAAGAACCUUACCUACUCUUGACAUCCAGAGAACUUAGCAGAGAUGCUUUGGUGCCUUCGGGAACUCUGAGACAGGUGCUGCAUGGCUGUCGUCAGCUCGUGUUGUGAAAUGUUGGGUUAAGUCCCGCAACGAGCGCAACCCUUAUCCUUGUUUGCCAGCACUUCGGGUGGGAACUCCAGGGAGACUGCCGGUGAUAAACCGGAGGAAGGUGGGGACGACGUCAAGUCAUCAUGGCCCUUACGAGUAGGGCUACACACGUGCUACAAUGGCGCAUACAGAGGGCGGCCAACUUGCGAAAGUGAGCGAAUCCCAAAAAGUGCGUCGUAGUCCGGAUUGGAGUCUGCAACUCGACUCCAUGAAGUCGGAAUCGCUAGUAAUCGUGGAUCAGAAUGCCACGGUGAAUACGUUCCCGGGCCUUGUACACACCGCCCGUCACACCAUGGGAGUGGGCUGCAAAAGAAGUGGGUAGUUUAACCUUCGGGAGGACGCUCACCACUUUGUGGUUCAUGACUGGGGUGAAGUCGUAACAAGGUAGCCCUAGGGGAACCUGGGGCUG
This 1037-nucleotide ribosomal RNA is filed under the name Vibrio maritimus. Its description in RNAcentral is "bacterial SSU rRNA". It matches the Rfam family "Bacterial small subunit ribosomal RNA", at positions 482 to 1520 of the family's 1533-position model. The record is from RNAcentral. Lineage: Bacteria; Pseudomonadati; Pseudomonadota; Gammaproteobacteria; Vibrionales; Vibrionaceae.